RNAcentral lists this ribosomal RNA (550 nucleotides) under uncultured bacterium. RNAcentral's name for it is "bacterial SSU rRNA". It matches the Rfam family "Bacterial small subunit ribosomal RNA", at positions 355 to 896 of the family's 1533-position model. The record is from RNAcentral.
UAGGGAAUCUUCGGCAAUGGGGGCAACCCUGACCGAGCAACGCCGCGUGAGUGAAGAAGGUUUUCGGAUCGUAAAGCUCUGUUGUAAGAGAAGAACGAGUGUGAGAGUGGAAAGUUCACACUGUGACGGUAACUUACCAGAAAGGGACGGCUAACUACGUGCCAGCAGCCGCGGUAAUACGUAGGUCCCGAGCGUUAUCCGGAUUUAUUGGGCGUAAAGCGAGCGCAGGCGGUUAGAUAAGUCUGAAGUUAAAGGCUGUGGCUUAACCAUAGUACGCUUUGGAAACUGUUUAACUUGAGUGCAGAAGGGGAGAGUGGAAUUCCAUGUGUAGCGGUGAAAUGCGUAGAUAUAUGGAGGAACACCGGUGGCGAAAGCGGCUCUCUGGUCUGUAACUGACGCUGAGGCUCGAAAGCGUGGGGAGCAAACAGGAUUAGAUACCCUGGUAGUCCACGCCGUAAACGAUGAGUGCUAGGUGUUGGGUCCUUUCCGGGACUCAGUGCCGCAGCUAACGCAUUAANCACUCCGCCUGGGGAGUACGACCGCAAGGUUG